RNAcentral lists this long non-coding RNA (1260 nucleotides) under Gossypium barbadense (sea-island cotton). RNAcentral describes it as "long non-coding RNA (GBAR_LNC015210)". Lineage: Eukaryota; Viridiplantae; Streptophyta; Magnoliopsida; Malvales; Malvaceae. The record is from RNAcentral.
CUCCUCCAGCUCCUUCUCCACCACCAUAUCCACCUGCAUGUGCCCCUCCACCACCAUAUCCUCCUGCACUUGCUCCUCCACCACCACUUCCACCACCACCUCCAUGUCCACCGGCUCCUCCAUACCCGCCAGCACCACCAGCACCACCAGCUCCGCCUCCUUCACCACCUCCACCACCAUAUCCAGAAGCUCCACCACCAUAUCCACCUGCACUAGCUCCGCCGCCACCACUACCACCACCACCACCACCUCCAUGUCCACCUGCUCCUCCAUACCCCCCGGCACCACCAGUUCCACCUCCUUCGCCACCUCCACCGCCAUAUCCAGAAGCUCCACCACCAUAUCCACCUGCACUAGCUCCACCGCCACCACUACCACCACCACCUCCAUGUCCACCUGCUCCUCCAUACCCGCCGGCACCACCAGCUCCGCCUCCUUCGCCACCUCCACCACCAUAUCCAGAAGGUCCACCACCGUAUCCACCUGUACUAGCUCCGCCGCCACCACUACCACCACCACCUCCAUGUCCACCUGCACCACCAGCUCCACCGGCACCACCAGCUCCACCUCCUUCACCACCCCCACCGCCAUAUCCAGAAGCUCCACCACCAUAUCCACCUGCACUAGCUCCGCCACUACCACCACCACCACCACCUCCAUGUCCACCUGCUCCUCCAUACCCCCCGGCACCACCAGUUCCACCUCCUUCGCCACCUCCACCGCCAUAUCCAGAAGCUCCACCACCAUAUCCACCUGCACUAGCUCCACCGCCACCACUACCACCACCACCUCCAUGUCCACCUGCUCCUCCAUACCCGCCGGCACCACCAGCUCCACCUCCUUCGCCACCUCCACCGCCAUAUCCAGAAGCUCCACCACCAUAUCCACCUGCACUAGCUCCGCCACCACCACUACCACCACCACCUCCAAUUCCACCCGCUCCUCCAUACCCGCCGGCACCACCAGCUCCGCCUCCUUCACCACCUCCACCACCAUAUCCAGAAGCUCCACCGCCAUAUCCACCUGCACUAGCUCCACCACCACCAUUGCCACCUCCUCCACCACCUCCAUAACCAGCAGGACCGCCACCACCACCUUCUCCUUUACCACCACCACCUCCAUAUCCAGCAGCUCCGGCUUCUCCUAGAUUUGCAUGGGCACCGCCACCUCCUGCACCUCCUCCACCUCCUCCUCCAAGGUAGCCAUUACCAUAUACCCCAACAUUGGCACCACCAUGACCAAUGCUCGAAAGGUGAGGAG